Molecule: ribosomal RNA, 394 nt
Filed under: uncultured Bdellovibrionales bacterium
Lineage: Bacteria; Pseudomonadati; Bdellovibrionota; Bdellovibrionia; Bdellovibrionales
Description: bacterial SSU rRNA
Rfam family: Bacterial small subunit ribosomal RNA
Source: RNAcentral
CGGAACCCGGUAGAAACAUCGGGUGCCCGCAAGGGUAGCCGAGAGACAGGUGCUGCAUUGGCUGUCGUCAGCUCGUGCCGUGAGGUGUGGGUUAAGUCCCGUAACGAGCGCAACCCCUGCCUUUAGUUGCGACCGGUAACGCCGAGCACUCUAAAGGGACUGCCUGGGAUAACCAGGAGGAAGGCGGGGAUGACGUCAAGUCAGCAUGGCCCUUACGUCCAGGGCUACACACGUGCUACAAUGGCCGGUACAGAGGGAAGCAAUACCGCGAGGUGGAGCAAAUCCCAUAAAAGCCGGCCUCAGUUCAGAUCGGAGGCUGCAACUCGCCUCCGUGAAGGCGGAAUCGCUAGUAAUCGCGGAUCAGCAGGCCGCGGUGAAUACGUUCCCGGGCCUU